Phoenix dactylifera (date palm) is the source of this 1354-nucleotide non-coding RNA. The record is from RefSeq and is a predicted model, not a curated record. NCBI's taxonomy places the organism in Eukaryota, Viridiplantae, Streptophyta, Magnoliopsida, Arecales, Arecaceae.
CCACCGCAAACCCCCCCCCCCCCCCCGCACCAAAUCCCUAACCCCCUCCAGAUUCAAGAAGCCAUCUCCUUCCCCGACCAAGUCCUCCUCUUCCUCAAAUCUCCCUCUUCCCUCCGCAUUUCCGAACUCUGCCUCUACUACUCUUCCUCCCUCUCCAUCACCGCAGGCGGCGGCCUCAUCCUCGGCUCAACCUCGGCUCCCCUCCUCUUUUCCCCGCUUCUCUUUGUGGCGUCGAGAAGCAGCGCACAAAGAACAUCUCCGGCGAUGAUGUCUUCGCCCGCCUCUUCGCCGCCGCCGUCAAGUCUAACAUCAACGACGCCCUCCAGGUCCUCCUCCUCUUUCUCCCUUCCAAGGUUUCUUUUCCCUGAUGUUUCCUUAGUGGCGCAUUUUUUUCUUGUCCCUGUUGUGUAGAAAUUGGAGAUGGCAGCCGGGGAGAAAAAUAGGGCGGCGGCGAUAGUGAUGAAUGCCGAGAUCUGGCGCACCAAGGCCUGGUUGAUCGAGGAGUUGGCCCUCAAGAAGCCAUGCCGGAUCUUCGGCGAACUCCACCUCCCUCACUGCUGUCCUCCUCGCUUGCCACGGAUGCAAUAUUCUCAGCCUUCUGACUAUGAGAAGAGUGGCGGCGGCCAAGCACGACAUCUAUUCGAUGGAAUGCUGAAGAGAGGCAUAGUACAUACAAAAUUUUUGAUAGCAUUAUUGCAUGUUGGGUGGCUAUACUGGUAAUGAGAACAAGAUAGCUCUUCACUUUAGUACUGCCUUUUGGCCUAAUGUAGAAGUUUUAGGAAUGGUUGCUCCAACAUCUUAUGCCUGUGGCUAUUUUCUCAAUCUCCACAAAGCAACAGGACAUCCUGUUCUUGUGUACAUGGCUACUGGAAGGUUUGCUCAUGACAUUGAGAAACUAUCUGAUGAAGAAGUUGUUAACUUUGUGAUGCUAUAACUUAAGAAAAUGCUACCAGAUGCCACAGAGCCGUUCAAUAUUUGGUUUCUCGGUGGGGUACAGAUCCAGAUUCCCUUGGGUCCUAUUCUUGUGAUCUGGUUGGGAAGCCAACUGAUUUGUAUGAGAGAUUUUGCACUCCUGUGGAUAAUUUAUAUUUUGCUGGGGAAGCAUUAAUUGUUGAUCAUUCUGGGUCUGUUCAUGGAGCUUAUACAUCAGGUAUGUUGGUUGCCGAAGACUGCCGAAGGCAUCUAUUAUUGCAGCAUGGUAUCUCGGACCGCUUCCAGAUUGUAUUAAGGGAGGAAAUGUCCGAAAUGAUACCCUUCUAAAUAUUUAGGAUGUAGUUUAUUUUUUGCUGGAUCAAUAACGAAACCGUGUAUUAUUUGAAAAUAAAUGGAAGUAGAUUUUUGUUUUUUUUUGCCA